GACGUAGGGGGCGAGCGUUACUCGGAAUUACUGGGCGUAAAGCGUGCGUAGGUGGUGAGUUAAGUCUGUCGUGAAAGCCCCGGGCUCAACCUGGGAAUGGCGAUGGAUACUGGCUCGCUAGAGUGCGGUAGAGGAGAGUGGAAUUCCCGGUGUAGCAGUGAAAUGCGUAGAGAUCGGGAGGAACAUCAGUUGCGAAGGCGGCUCUCUGGACCAGCACUGACACUGAGGCACGAAAGCGUGGGGAGCAAACAGG
RNAcentral lists this ribosomal RNA (253 nucleotides) under uncultured bacterium. RNAcentral describes it as "partial 16S ribosomal RNA". It matches the Rfam family "Bacterial small subunit ribosomal RNA", at positions 524 to 776 of the family's 1533-position model. The record is from RNAcentral.